This 253-nucleotide ribosomal RNA is filed under the name uncultured bacterium. RNAcentral describes it as "partial 16S ribosomal RNA". It matches the Rfam family "Bacterial small subunit ribosomal RNA", at positions 524 to 776 of the family's 1533-position model. The record is from RNAcentral.
UACGUAGGGGGCAAGCGUUGUCCGGAUUUAUUGGGCGUAAAGAGCGUGUAGGCGGCCAGGUAGGUCAGCUGUGAAAACUCGAGGCUUAACCUCGAGACGCCGGCUGAAACCCUCUGGCUAGAGUCCGGAAGAGGAGAGCGGAAUUCCUGGUGUAGCGGUGAAAUGCGCAGAUAUCAGGAAGAACACCCGUGGCGAAGGCGGCUCUCUGGGACGGUACUGACGCUGAGGCGCGAAAGCGUGGGGAGCGAACAGG